RNAcentral lists this ribosomal RNA (420 nucleotides) under uncultured bacterium. Its description in RNAcentral is "bacterial SSU rRNA". It matches the Rfam family "Bacterial small subunit ribosomal RNA", at positions 30 to 454 of the family's 1533-position model. The record is from RNAcentral.
AUUGAACGCUGGCGGCAUGCCUUACACAUGCAAGUCGAACGGCAGCACGGGGCAACCUGGUGGCGAGUGGCGAACGGGUGAGUAAUGCAUCGGAACGUGCCAUUGAGUGGGGGAUAACGUAGCGAAAGUUGCGCUAAUACCGCAUAUUCUGUGAGCAGGAAAGCAGGGGGACCGCAAGGCCUUGCGCUCUUUGAGCGGCCGAUGUCAGAUUAGCUAGUUGGUGAGGUAACGGCUUACCAAGGCGACGAUCUGUAGCGGGUCUGAGAGGAUGAUCCGCCACACUGGAACUGAGACACGGUCCAGACUCCUACGGGGGGCAGCAGUGGGGAAUUUUGGACAAUGGGCGCAAGCCUGAUCCAGCCAUGCCGCGUGAGUGAAGAAGGCCUCGGUUGUAAGCACUUUCAGCGAGGAGGAAAGGGU